RNAcentral lists this ribosomal RNA (497 nucleotides) under uncultured bacterium. RNAcentral describes it as "partial 16S ribosomal RNA". It matches the Rfam family "Bacterial small subunit ribosomal RNA", at positions 28 to 507 of the family's 1533-position model. The record is from RNAcentral.
GAUGAACGCUGGCGGCGUGCCUAAUACAUGCAAGUCGAGCGAACGGACGAGAAGCUUGCUUCUCUGAUGUUAGCGGCGGACGGGUGAGUAACACGUGGAUAACCUACCUAUAAGACUGGGAUAACUUCGGGAAACCGGAGCUAAUACCGGAUAAUCUUUUGAACCGCAUGGUUCAAAAGUGAAAGACGGUCUUGCUGUCACUUAUAGAUGGAUCCGCGCUGCAUUAGCUAGUUGGUAAGGUAACGGCUUACCAAGGCAACGAUGCAUAGCCGACCUGAGAGGGUGAUCGGCCACACUGGAACUGAGACACGGUCCAGACUCCUACGGGAGGCAGCAGUAGGGAAUCUUCCGCAAUGGGUGAAAGCCUGACGGAGCAACGCCGCGUGAGUGAUGAAGGUCUUCGGAUCGUAAAACUCUGUUAUUAGGGAAGAACAUAUGUGUAAGUAACUGUGCACAUCUUGACGGUACCUAAUCAGAAAGCCACGGCUAACUACGUG